Molecule: long non-coding RNA, 282 nt
Organism: Epinephelus fuscoguttatus (brown-marbled grouper)
Lineage: Eukaryota; Metazoa; Chordata; Actinopteri; Perciformes; Serranidae
Exons: 3
Source: RefSeq, a predicted model, not a curated record
UGGUUGCUCAACAUGACAAUCUCUGUGGACGAGGACCUGCUCCAUAUGAAGUUAUAAACAGCUCAUUCUAAGAUGUGUGUGUCCUGCAGGUUACGCCACAUUUUCUUCCCUGUUGCUUGGUCAAGGAACUCUCUAAAGGCUCAUGACGGAUGCAGAAAGACACAGUGGUACAGGGUGAGUUGGGCAUAUGCCAUGUGUCUCCACUGAGGCGGACGGCGCCUGCGGGGUCCUGACACGUCUGCCGGAUGUCAUACGACAGGUUGUCGGCCAGGCAGGGGUCUG